RNAcentral lists this transfer RNA (75 nucleotides) under Kiritimatiellaceae bacterium. Its description in RNAcentral is "tRNA-Thr". It matches the Rfam family "tRNA". Rfam says of the family: Transfer RNA (tRNA) molecules are approximately 80 nucleotides in length. Their secondary structure includes four short double-helical elements and three loops (D, anti-codon, and T loops). Lineage: Bacteria; Pseudomonadati; Kiritimatiellota; Kiritimatiellia; Kiritimatiellales; Kiritimatiellaceae. The record is from RNAcentral.
GCCAGUGUAGCUCAGUGGCAGAGCAACUGAUUUGUAAUCAGUUGGUCGGGGGUUCGACUCCCUCCACUGGCUCCA